RNAcentral lists this ribosomal RNA (253 nucleotides) under uncultured bacterium. RNAcentral's name for it is "partial 16S ribosomal RNA". It matches the Rfam family "Bacterial small subunit ribosomal RNA", at positions 524 to 776 of the family's 1533-position model. The record is from RNAcentral.
UACGUAGGGUGCGAGCGUUGUCCGGAAUUAUUGGGCGUAAAGGGCUCGUAGGCGGUUUGUCGCGUCGGGAGUGAAAACCCAGGGCUUAACCCUGGGCUGGCUUUCGAUACGGGCAGACUAGAGGUAUGCAGGGGAGAACGGAAUUCCUGGUGUAGCGGUGAAAUGCGCAGAUAUCAGGAGGAACACCGGUGGCGAAGGCGGUUCUCUAGGCAUUACCUGACGCUGAGGAGCGAAAGUGUGGGGAGCGAACAGG